This 1008-nucleotide ribosomal RNA is filed under the name Nonomuraea jabiensis. Its description in RNAcentral is "bacterial SSU rRNA". It matches the Rfam family "Bacterial small subunit ribosomal RNA", at positions 56 to 1089 of the family's 1533-position model. The record is from RNAcentral. Lineage: Bacteria; Bacillati; Actinomycetota; Actinomycetes; Streptosporangiales; Streptosporangiaceae.
UGCAAGUCGAGCGGAAGGCCCUUCGGGGUACUCGAGCGGCGAACGGGUGAGUAACACGUGAGCAACCUGCCCCUGACUCUGGGAUAAGCCCGGGAAACUGGGUCUAAUACCGGAUAUGACCGCCCCCGGCAUCGGGUGGUGGUGGAAAGUUUUUUCGGUUGGGGAUGGGCUCGCGGCCUAUCAGCUUGUUGGUGGGGUAGUGGCCUACCAAGGCGACGACGGGUAGCCGGCCUGAGAGGGCGACCGGCCACACUGGGACUGAGACACGGCCCAGACUCCUACGGGAGGCAGCAGUGGGGAAUAUUGCGCAAUGGGCGGAAGCCUGACGCAGCGACGCCGCGUGGGGGAUGACGGCCUUCGGGUUGUAAACCUCUUUCAGCAGGGACGAAGUUGACGUGUACCUGCAGAAGAAGCGCCGGCUAACUACGUGCCAGCAGCCGCGGUAAUACGUAGGGCGCAAGCGUUGUCCGGAAUUAUUGGGCGUAAAGAGCUCGUAGGUGGCUGGUCGCGUCUGCCGUGAAAGCCCGCAGCUUAACUGCGGGUCUGCGGUGGAUACGGGCCGGCUAGAGGUAGGUAGGGGCAAGUGGAAUUCCUGGUGUAGCGGUGAAAUGCGCAGAUAUCAGGAGGAACACCGGUGGCGAAGGCGGCUUGCUGGGCCUUACCUGACGCUGAGGAGCGAAAGCGUGGGGAGCGAACAGGAUUAGAUACCCUGGUAGUCCACGCUGUAAACGUUGGGCGCUAGGUGUGGGGAUCUUCCACGAUCUCCGUGCCGGAGCUAACGCAUUAAGCGCCCCGCCUGGGGAGUACGGCCGCAAGGCUAAAACUCAAAGGAUUGACGGGGGCCCGCACAAGCGGCGGAGCAUGUUGCUUAAUUCGACGCAACGCGAAGAACCUUACUCAGGUUUGACAUCACCCGGAAACGCUCAGAGAUGGGCGCCUCUUCGGACUGGGUGACAGUGGUGCAUGGCUGUCGUCAGCUCGUGUCGUGAGAUGUUGGGUUAAGUCCCC